Molecule: regulatory RNA element, 60 nt
Organism: Mesorhizobium sp. Root157
Lineage: Bacteria; Pseudomonadati; Pseudomonadota; Alphaproteobacteria; Hyphomicrobiales; Phyllobacteriaceae
Rfam family: terC RNA
Source: Rfam
UGCGCGGGCCAGGCCCCUCUGACUGUCGCCUUCUAGCGACCGUGAUGUCGGACCGCGUGA